GACGAACGCUGGCGGCGUGCUUAACACAUGCAAGUCGAGCGAUGAAGCACCUUCGGGUGUGGAUUAGCGGCGAACGGGUGAGGAACACGUGAGGAAUCUGCCUUUCACUUCGGGAUAACUCCGGGAAACCGGGGCUAAUACCGGAUAUUUUCAACUGGCGGCAUCGCCGGUUGAAGAAAGUUUUUCGGUGAAAGAUGACCUCGCGGCCUAUCAGCUUGUUGGUGAGGUAAUGGCUCACCAAGGCGACGACGGGUAGCCGACCUGAGAGGGCGACCGGCCACACUGGGACUGAGACACGGCCCAGACUCCUACGGGAGGCAGCAGUGGGGAAUAUUGGGCAAUGGAAGAAACUCUGACCCAGCGACGCCGCGUGAGGGAUGAAGGCCUUCGGGUUGUAAACCUCUUUCAGCAGGGAAUAAGCGAAAGUGAAGGUACCUGCAGAAGAAGCACCGGCUAACUAUGUGCCAGCAGCCGCAGUAA
Molecule: ribosomal RNA, 480 nt
Filed under: uncultured bacterium
Lineage: Bacteria
Description: partial 16S ribosomal RNA
Rfam family: Bacterial small subunit ribosomal RNA
Source: RNAcentral